This 357-nucleotide ribosomal RNA is filed under the name Triticum aestivum (bread wheat). RNAcentral describes it as "partial small subunit ribosomal RNA". Lineage: Eukaryota; Viridiplantae; Streptophyta; Magnoliopsida; Poales; Poaceae. The record is from RNAcentral.
AUGCCGACGUUCGCUUUGACCGUCCUUCGAGUGCCAAAGAAGUUACUAAAGGAGAUUGACAAGUGCAGGCGCAGAUUCUUAUGGAAGCAAGAUGAGGAGAUCACAGGUGGUAGCUGCAAGGUCAACUGGACAGCUGUUUGCGCUCCCACAUCGCACAGAGGACUGGGCGUCCUCGACCUCGAGCGGUUCAGCCGAGCCCUGAGAUUACGGUGGCUCUGGACUUCCUGGACUGACCCGGAGCGAGCAUGGGUUGGUACAGAGCCACCGUGCAGCGCCAUAGACACAACCCUUUUCAGGGCAGUGACCACGGUCACCAUCGGUGAUGGCGCAACGGCCCUAUUCUGGCACUCAUCCUGG